GCCGGGAAGGGCCCUAUAAAAGCCCGGGUGCUAUUUACGCCGCGCGGGUUGGGCUGUUGCGCCUGCGCGGUGAGAGCGGGGCCUGCCGCCGGUGGGAGCCCGCGGGGCGGCCCUGGGCCCCUCUCAGGCAGAGAGGGGAACUGUGUGGAGGUGUUCCCCCUGCCCCUGCUUGGCUUUGAGCUGGGUAGACUAUGGGGCUCGCUUCGGGUCUAGUAGUGUGUGGCCUGUAGGGGAGCCUUGCUGCUCGGCGCGGCCCCCUGUCCGGGUGUUGCUAGGCCAGGGGGAGGCGGCUGUGGUGGGGGUUGUGGUGUCAGGCUACCCCGUCUGUCUGCAGGCCUUUCAGAUGUGCCUGUUGGGGCUGGGAGUUGGUUCCCUGUUUCUUCCAGUCGAGCAGUCUUCAUCCUGACUUUCAUGGUACAGCAGGACCCCACUAGGUGCCAGCUUCAAGGAUGGGAAGGAGGGAAGGACUGGCGGAUACCCCCUCAGAGUGAAACAUGCUGUAGCUGAGCAGCAAGGACAGACCUGCCGGUGACCUACAAGAACCUCCAGUCUCGUCUGAGCAGGACAGUGCCUCUGCUCUGCUCCCUUCCUGCCCUCUGCUGCUGCACUCUGGAGAAGCCAAAUCACAGAAGGACCACAGGAGGACACCUGGUGUGUGCUUAUACAGCUGGAAGGGGAAAGAAGUCCUGGCCUUGCCCUGCUACUGGAUGAAAGGUUUACCCCAAAUCAGCUGCAACCGGGCAGGGUGAGAACUGAAGCUUUAGGAGCACUCAGUGCAUUUGGAUGGGUGGUCCUGUACCGCCAGGGAACUGUCCUGGAGACUCCCCCUACCUACACGCAAAAAUGAGAGAAAAUGCACAAUAUACUCCGUUGCUCAAGUCCCCUGCUCCAAGUGACAGAUUUCUAGGCUGCUUUUAGUGCCUUCUGCCGGAGGAGGGCGCUGUCAGAUCAGCAUUGAACUGCUCAGCAAGCGAAGAUGCCCACCUGGGAACUGGUUAAACUGAGUGGCCCACUGACUUGCAGGAGGUGGACACUAACCUGAAAAGCACUUACAUCUUUUGCUUUAACUGCACGUACGGGGUGUUUUGUGUCCCUGUACGAUGAAAACCACACUAACUUGUCUGCUGGGACAGUGGGAGCAGCAGGCCUGAGAAGCUGCUCAGAGGUGGCACAUUUGGCAGUGGAGUCUUGCACUUCUUGUUGUUGGGGCAGUGGCCCCCUCCCUUGCACCCAGAGCCCCUGGAAAACUGCAGCCUGUGCAACACCUUCCUGCUAAAGGCUAGAGAGAGAGCACCCUCCUCUGCAUCUGAGUGAUGCAAGCAGCCCUUUUAUCCAGGAUACCUGCCGGGCAGUAGAAGCAGGCAACCAAAAAGCUAGGUUAAACUGGUCUGAGGUUGACUCAAGCCAACGUGGACUGGUCUGAAGUGGAAUAACAACCUCAUCCCUUCUGCUGUUUCUACUGGUACAACUCGUCAGUAGCCUUCCUGCCUCAGCCAGUAGCAGUGUGACAAAGUAUGGCUUAAUUACAACCCUGAAAUAAAGGGAAUUUCUUUAUUAGAUGUUGCUCUACG
This 1571-nucleotide long non-coding RNA is filed under the name Calidris pugnax (ruff). RNAcentral describes it as "lncRNA (ENSCPUG00000004283.1)". The record is from RNAcentral. Lineage: Eukaryota; Metazoa; Chordata; Aves; Charadriiformes; Scolopacidae.